RNAcentral lists this ribosomal RNA (1952 nucleotides) under human metagenome. RNAcentral's name for it is "bacterial LSU rRNA". It matches the Rfam family "Bacterial large subunit ribosomal RNA", at positions 3 to 1977 of the family's 2925-position model. The record is from RNAcentral.
UUAAGUUAAUAAGGGCGCACGGUGGAUGCCUUGGCACUAGGAGCCGAAGAAGGACGUGACAAACGACGAAAUGCCUCGGGGAGCUGUAAGUAAGCGCAGAUCCGGGGAUGUCCGAAUGGGGGAACCCAACAGGUACUACCUGUUACCCAUCUCUGUUAAGGAGAUGAGGAGGAAGACGCAGUGAACUGAAACAUCUAAGUAGCUGCAGGAAGAGAAAGCAAAAGCGAUUGCCUUAGUAGCGGCGAGCGAAACGGCAGGAGGGCAAACCGAAGAGUUUACUCUUCGGGGUUGUAGGACUGCAAUGUGGACUCAAAGAUUAUAGAAGAAUGAUUUGGGAAGAUCAGCCAAAGAGAGUAACAGCCUCGUAUUUAAAAUAGUCUUUGUACCUAGCAGUAUCCUGAGUACGGCGGGACACGUGAAAUCCCGUCGGAAUCUGGGAGGACCAUCUCCCAACCCUAAAUACUCCCUAGUGACCGAUAGUGAACCAGUACCGUGAGGGAAAGGUGAAAAGCACCCCGGGAGGGGAGUGAAAGAGAACCUGAAACCGUGUGCCUACAACAAGUUCGAGCCCGUUAAUGGGUGAGAGCGUGCCUUUUGUAGAAUGAACCGGCGAGUUACGAUAUGAUGCGAGGUUAAGUUGAAGAGACGGAGCCGUAGGGAAACCGAGUCUGAAUAGGGCGAAUUAGUAUCAUGACGUAGACCCGAAACCAUGUGACCUACCCAUGAGCAGGUUGAAGGUGCGGUAAGACGCACUGGAGGACCGAACCAGGGCACGUUGAAAAGUGCUUGGAUGACUUGUGGGUAGCGGAGAAAUUCCAAACGAACUUGGAGAUAGCUGGUUCUCUCCGAAAUAGCUUUAGGGCUAGCGUCGACAUCAAGAUUCUUGGAGGUAGAGCACUGUUUGGGUGAGGGGUCCAUCCCGGAUUACCAAUCUCAGAUAAACUCCGAAUGCCAAUGAAUUAUGGUCGGCAGUCAGACUGCGAGUGCUAAGAUCCGUAGUCGAAAGGGAAACAGCCCAGACCACCAGCUAAGGUCCCAAAAUAAUUGUUAAGUGGAAAAGGAUGUGGGGUUGCACAGACAACUAGGAUGUUAGCUUAGAAGCAGCUAUUCAUUCAAAGAGUGCGUAAUAGCUCACUAGUCGAGUGACCCUGCGCCGAAAAUGUACCGGGGCUAAAACAAUUUACCGAAGCUGUGGAUACCUUUAUAGGUAUGGUAGGAGAGCGUUCUAUGUGUGAAGAAGGUAUACCGUGAGGAGUGCUGGAACGCAUAGAAGUGAGAAUGCCGGUAUGAGUAGCGAAAGACAGGUGAGAAUCCUGUCCACCGUAAGACUAAGGUUUCCAGGGGAAGGCUCGUCCGCCCUGGGUUAGUCGGGACCUAAGGAGAGACCGAAAGGUGUAUCCGAUGGACAACAGGUUGAUAUUCCUGUACUAGAGUAUGUAGUGAUGGAGGGACGCAGUAGGCUAACUAAAGCAGACGAAUGGAAGUGUCUGUCUAAGCAGUGAGGUGUGAAUUGAGUUAAAUGCUUAGUUCUAUAACAUUGAGCUGUGAUGGGGAGCGAAGUUUAGUAGCGAAGUUAGUGACGUCACACUGCCAAGAAAAGCUUCUAGCGUUUAAACAUACUCUACCCGUACCGCAAACCGACACAGGUAGUCGAGGCGAGUAGCCUCAGGUGAGCGAGAGAACUCUCGUUAAGGAACUCGGCAAAAUGACCCCGUAACUUCGGGAGAAGGGGUGCUGACUUUAAGUCAGCCGCAGUGAAUAGGCCCAAGCAACUGUUUAUCAAAAACACAGCUCUCUGCUAAAUCGUAAGAUGAUGUAUAGGGGGUGACGCCUGCCCGGUGCUGGAAGGUUAAGAGGAGUGCUUAGCGGUAACGCGAAGGUAUGAAUUGAAGCCCCAGUAAACGGCGGCCGUAACUAUAACGGUCCUAAGGUAGCGAAAUUCCUUGUCGGGU